CCUUGACCAAUUGUACAGUUCUAGUAUGAAGUUUCUCCAGGAGCUGGCCCAAAUGCACACCAGGACUCUUCUACUAGUUGUACAGUUCUGGGAUGAGCUUUGUAAAAAGAAGCACCCAAAUGUGGCAUAGUCUUAGAGGGCUAAUAUGAUCCGCAUGCACCUGCAAAAUAUAUAUGUGCCACAACAAGCCUCGACUCCCAGCUAAUGGGACAUGAGAAAGCACACGGCUUCGCCCAUCAAUGUUGUGGAGUGGUGUUAGGCCUUCUAGAUCUGGUUUACACAAUUCCAAAGCUGUCACCACAUGUACACUAAUUCUUGGCAUGCUUACAAGUGUUGUAUUAGGUUUAUAUUUUGCUCUACGUUCUGGUUCUUCAACAUCCCUCCAUCUUAUUCGAGAACAGGUGAACGAUUACCAUUUCUAGAAUCGGAGGAACUAGAAUCGGGCAAAGGCAAGAAAGAAGUGGAAG
Molecule: long non-coding RNA, 467 nt
Filed under: Helianthus annuus (common sunflower)
Lineage: Eukaryota; Viridiplantae; Streptophyta; Magnoliopsida; Asterales; Asteraceae
Source: RNAcentral